This 245-nucleotide ribosomal RNA is filed under the name uncultured bacterium. Its description in RNAcentral is "partial 16S ribosomal RNA". It matches the Rfam family "Bacterial small subunit ribosomal RNA", at positions 524 to 768 of the family's 1533-position model. The record is from RNAcentral.
UACGGGGGGAGCGAGCGUUGUUCGGAAUUACUGGGCGUAAAGGGCGCGUAGGCGGCCAGGCCAGUAAGUGGUGAAAUCCCCGGGCUCAACUUGGGGUCUGCCAUUUAAACUACCUGGCUGGAGUGCAGGAGGGGGCAGUGGAAUUCCUGGUGUAGCGGUGAAAUGCGUAGAGAUCAGGAGGAACACCCGUGGCGAAGGCGGCUGCCUGGACUGCAACUGACGCUGAGGCGCGAAAGCUAGGGGAG